This 562-nucleotide ribosomal RNA is filed under the name uncultured bacterium. RNAcentral describes it as "bacterial SSU rRNA". It matches the Rfam family "Bacterial small subunit ribosomal RNA", at positions 338 to 916 of the family's 1533-position model. The record is from RNAcentral.
CCUACGGGAGGCAGCAGUGGGGAAUCUUGCGCAAUGGGCGAAAGCCUGACGCAGCCAUGCCGCGUGAAUGAUGAAGGUCUUAGGAUUGUAAAAUUCUUUCACCGGGGACGAUAAUGACGGUACCCGGAGAAGAAGCCCCGGCUAACUUCGUGCCAGCAGCCGCGGUAAUACGAAGGGGGCUAGCGUUGCUCGGAAUUACUGGGCGUAAAGGGAGCGUAGGCGGAUAGUUUAGUCAGAGGUGAAAGCCCAGGGCUCAACCUUGGAAUUGCCUUUGAUACUGGCUAUCUUGAGUACGGAAGAGGUAUGUGGAACUCCGAGUGUAGAGGUGAAAUUCGUAGAUAUUCGGAAGAACACCAGUGGCGAAGGCGACAUACUGGUCCGUUACUGACGCUGAGGCUCGAAAGCGUGGGGAGCAAACAGGAUUAGAUACCCUGGUAGUCCACGCUGUAAACGAUGAGUGCUAGUUGUCGGCAUGCAUGCAUGUCGGGUNACGCAGCUAACGCAUUAAGCACUCCGCCUGGGGAGUACGGUCGCAAGAUUAAAACUCAAAAUGAAUUGACGG